GCCGGGCGUGGUGGCGCGCGCCUGUAGUCCCAGCUACUCGGGAGGCUGAGGCAGGAGGAUCGCUUGAGCCCAGGAGUUCUGGGCUGUAGUGCGCUAUGCCGAUCGGGUGUCCGCACUAAGUUCGGCAUCAAUAUGGUGACCUCCCGGGAGCGGGGGACCACCAGGUUGCCUAAGGAGGGGUGAACCGGCCCAGGUCGGAAACGGAGCAGGUCAAAACUCCCGUGCUGAUCAGUAGUGGGAUCGCGCCUGUGAAUAGCCACUGCACUCCAGCCUGGGCAACAUAGCGAGACCCCGUCUCUU
This is an unclassified non-coding RNA of Delphinapterus leucas (beluga whale), 300 nucleotides long. It matches the Rfam family "Metazoan signal recognition particle RNA". Rfam says of the family: The signal recognition particle (SRP) is a universally conserved ribonucleoprotein. It is involved in the co-translational targeting of proteins to membranes. The record is from Ensembl. NCBI's taxonomy places the organism in Eukaryota, Metazoa, Chordata, Mammalia, Artiodactyla, Monodontidae.